Molecule: non-coding RNA, 1549 nt
Organism: Physcomitrium patens
Lineage: Eukaryota; Viridiplantae; Streptophyta; Bryopsida; Funariales; Funariaceae
Source: RefSeq, a predicted model, not a curated record
GAGGAAUUGAUGGUGGAGUGUGGAAUAAUUGCCCACAGAAAAACCCACUCUUCAUUAUGAGCUUCUUCUCCACCCCCCUCCGACACCACUUCUUGGACCCAGUCCCUCUGAAGUUUGUCACAACAGCGAAGAUUGGUUGAUCACGAAGUAGAGCUCCAGUUUCCAUCGCUGAGGUGCAAAUCCCAUUACCAGGAACCUCCCCACCCUAUUACAGCGGAGUGGGAAAAAAUAGGCCGGAAUCGUGAGACGAAGCAAAAUGUGGUAGGGUGGCAUGACAUGAGCAGGAGAAGCCCCGUCGUGAUGCUAUUAACACAUCUCGUUUUGUUGCUAUUUAGUCGCCGUUUCGGAACCGCUUGCAUUACUCUCAUCGCUCCUCUAUAUCUCCACGAGCCGUGCAAAGACUCUGCUCUCCCUCCGCUACCUCACGCGGACAGCCAGCAGAUGGUCGCCUCGGGUUGAGUGUGUACCAUCCGCGAUCAUUUCUUAGGUGGUUACUGCUUUUUGAGGGUCGCAAUUCGAAGUCACAACCAUCACAGCAGGGCAGAGCGGAGGACAAUUUGGCGUUGAGUACCUACGCCAGGCCGGGGAGAGACUCAAUCCUCUUCGGCUUGGUUGGUGCCCAUUUCAGUGCCCAGCAACCGAUUGAACAUGCCUGCGUUGUUGUAGAUUCAAUCCCGCACGUAGACGCGUUAGUUCUCUUAGAUAGGUCAGACGGGUGAUUUCUUCAUUUAUGUCUUCACUCCGAUCUUAGACAGGCCCUACUGAGAUCUUUGGUAAAUGGGAUCUAGUAGGCCCGAAAGAUCACUUCCUUGAUUGAUGUAGUUGUGAUGCUGAAGGCUAACAGGAUUCAAGUCUGUUUGGUAACUACCACCAUGUUAGAGUAUUCUGAUUCCUUUGGCGAUGUACAGAGAAGUGAAGGACUGUUCUACACGUCGCGCCGGGAAGUUACUGAUAGUCCUCCCCACCGUCACCAAUUAUGUCUAUCUGUCAUUUGUAACUUGGAGGAAUCGAUGAGACAUGACUCAGGAGAUGCCGGUAGCUGUGGCUGUGGAAGCAAUCUGUGUUUCCGUUGUGGGCAAUGAUGGGUCGGCCGGAGCCGUCUUGCUGCGGUCCGGCAACACCGAGGGAGCUGGCCUCAUUCCUCUCGGUUGAGUUCCAUGACUGUACAGAUAGCAAAAUGCCUGACGUGCGGACAUCGAUGUGAAGGUUUUGUGAUAGCGUAAUAUUUAACUUAAUGUUAUAUGGGAAUAGCUGUGCUGCUGCAAUGAUUGAAGAUUUGCAAUAGGCUAGGCUAAGGUAGGUUUCGUGAUGAGUGCCAGGCGUGUUAUGAUCAACAUGAGUUGCAGUUCGAUGAGGGAUUUGAUCCGGAAAUCGGAUGAGCCUUCGUCUUUGAAAUUGACUGGAGCACUGUAGCAGUUAUUCUGAAAUGUGUUACUUCGGGUCAAGCUUCAGUUUAAAAUUUCAUGAUGUCAUUUGUACGUCAGGAUGCGCAAAAUUAUCCGGUUUAUGUGGCGAUCGGUGGAAGAUGCUGGAUGUGCCUUUGCCGUGA